GUUUCUUUCUCCAGCCUCUCUUAGCAGCUGGGAAGAGAGAGUGGAGAGAAAGAGGGAUCAGGACAGAUGUGGACACGGCAGAAGAAGAGGAGCCUGCUGUGACGGACUUCCUUGAAAUGACAAACAAGUAAAUAUUUAAGGGAAUAAGUAAAACCAAAAGAAGGACUCAUGGGUUGGAAGAAUGGAAGGAGAAGGAAAAGGCAGAUGGGAUAGGGAUAGACAUUGAAGAUUGCAAACAGGCUAGUAGCAAAGAAAGCAAAAACAAACAGGGUUUUUAGAAGCCAGAUAAACCUUGGAUUCCUGGUGUUGUCACUUCUGAGCUAUCUCUGUUACCUUAGGUAACAUACACAGCUGUCAAGACCUGAAGUACAAAGAAAAGAGGAACUUACAGAAAGAUGGAAGAAGAGUAUGCCAUGCAGAUGAAGCUGGGAAUUAAAGACCCAGAUAGAGGAAUAAGGCAAAAAGAGUAUGACUACUAGGAAGAGAAUGGAUUCAGGAAUCUUCUGUGUAGGUGGAAGGUAAGAAUGGAAACAUGAAAAAUAGUUAAGGACUACUGCAAAAGUCCAGGCAAGAGAUGAUGGAUACCUGAACUGAGGUUGUGGUGGGAAAGAAAAACAGACAGAUUUCAUAUAUAUUUUUGAAAAACAAGGAGAUUUGAUGAUUCAUUGAACCCAGAAAAUUAAUAAAAGUAAUAAAAGAUAAUUCCUACUUUUUUUGGCUUGAGCAUGUGAAUAAGUAGUGAUGCCAGUUAUUAUUAAGCUGGGGAAGGGUGAGGAAGUGAUAUAGACAGGAGGCGGGGAAAUACUGGGUAGAAGAGGGCAGACCCCAACGAGGGCCACACUCUCAAGCCUGGACCUGCAGUCCAAAGUGAGAACAUGCAUUCCUGUUUUCCUGCCCAAAUUUGCCUUUUCCAAAACCAUGUUGGCUGUCCCCACCUCCCCAUCCUGUACCCAUAAAAACCCCAAGCCCCACCAGCAGAGUGGCAGAGUGGCAGAGGAGAGAAGAGAGGCAGCAGAAGGACAUCAAAGAGAAGCAGCUUGACUUCAGAGGAACAGCUUGACAGCAGGACUUCGCAGAAGAGUUCCACAGGGGACGGCUGAACUCCAGGAGAAGACCACCUUCCCACUCCAUCCGCUUUCCAGCUCCCCAUCCUGCCAAGAGCCACUUCUACUGCUCAGUAAAAUCCUCCACAUUCACCACCCUUCAAUUCAUUCAUAUGACCUUAUUCUUCCUGGAUGCCAGACAAGUACUCGGGUACCAAGAGGGCGGGUGCAAAAGGCUGUCACCCUGACCCUCCACUGAUCUGUUAAACACUUAAGUUGUCUGUGGAUGGCAAAGCUAAAUGAGCACACUGUAACACAUGCCCUCUAGGACUCCGGAGGUCACAGGUUCCCCUCCCCUCCCCCCCACCCCCCAGGAAGCUUCCACUGGACUGCACAGGAUUCUACUCCUGCGGAUGCCCAGAAGCACUUGUCCCAGUCCCUGUACCCACUCACCUGCAUGCUCCCCGUCCCGUGAGGGGAUGAGAGCUGCGAGCUGAGUAAACAAGUCAAUCCCUUUGUGAGUCCCGCGAAGGGGUCAAGGGAACUAUCCCAUUUCUGAAGGAAGGGGCUGGAGGGGUGUUGUAAUAAAAAAUUCUAUUGGACAUAUUAAAUUUGAGAUGCUUACUAGACAUACAAAUGGAGAUUUCAAAAAGAUAGCUGAAUAUGAGUCUGAAACACAUCACUGCCUUCUAAAUUUUAUUUUAAUCAUAUGCAUAUCUGUUAACAACUAGUUUAUACUUCUGGUUGUAUUAGGGAAGAAAGAUGGUUUAAAUUUUCUUUAACUAUUAAGUAGAUCCUCCUCUUAAUUGUGACUGAGUCUUGAAAUGCAUACCAAAGGUCGUAGGCUCUCUGUACUUCCUCUUCUUUCUAAACUCCCGAUGGAUUUCUGAUAAGCAGAAUGCUCCCCCUAUUAAUUCCAUCUACUGCCUGGAAACUGUGGAUAUGUUUCAAUAUAUGCCUAACUGGACUCUGCGGAUGUAAUUAAGGCUACUAAUUAGUGACUAAAUAGAUUCCUCUGGAUUACUUAGGUGGGCCCGAUCUAAAAAAAUUUGCUCUUGAAAGCAGAGAACCUUGUCCAGCUAGGAGCAGAAGAGAGCCAUGGCAACAUGUCAUGAAAUUUCACGUGUGAGAAUGAUCAGCACACCAUUACUGGCUCUGAGAUAUUACAGCCUAUGUAGAAGCACCAGAGAGAGGGCUCUAAGAGCUAAGGGAGCCCCCUAGAUGACAGUCAACCAAGAAACAGAGACCCUAGUCCUAUAACCAUAAGGUACUGGAUUCUGCCAGAAGUAUGGAUCAGCUUGGAAGUAAAUUCUUCCCCAGAAACUCCAGAUAAGAGCCUGCCAGAAUUCUGACCUACAGAACAGUGAGAUAAUAAAUGGGUGUUAUUUUAAGCCACUAUUUAAGCCACUAUUUAGUUAUAGCAAUAAUAGAAAAUUAACACAAGACUUAAAUGUAAUAAGGUGAUGGGGAUGAGGAAAGUGGGAUUCUAUUUCCAGAGUACUAAAAUGUAUGAAAUAUGGACAUGUGAAACUCCUAGUCAUGGUUGAUGUGGGCACUGUCUCCCUUUAACACUUAGAGCCCUUCGUGUUGAUGAGAAAAUUUCAUUGAUCUACUAACGCCCUAGCCAAGACUAUAGCCAGGUAGUCCCAUAACUAAAUCUCCAGAUGGGCUUUCUAAAUACCUGAAAUGUGAAGAUGAAACUUCUUCCCUCAACCACCACUACCACCACAGAAAUGGUGCAGGGCAUGGGAUAGUCACUCCUUUCACUCACAUGAGAACCCUCAAGAGCACUGAUAGGGCAAACUGCGAACCUCAGGCAUUUGACUGCUAGUGUAGUUGCCUGACUCCACAGCAUAAAGAGGUGAAGGUAGGGGGCUAUAGGCUCAGACAGCAACAUUACAAAUGUCCAGUUUUAAAAAACACAUAUUUCCCCUUCACCCAUAAUUACUACGAUAGAAACCCAAUUUUCACCAUUCAGAUAAUAACCUGAAAACCUCACUCUUCAGAUAAUGUGUGUAAAAGCAUUCUGGAUAUGAAAGGCUGUAAAGUUAUACUAAUACAAAAUGUAAGAAACUUCAGGUAAACCAGUAGUCAAAAAUCAUGCAUAGAAGUUCCAUUUAUGUAAGACGACUUUCUCCUAGCUAAUUCCUACUUGUUAAUCAAAGUGUAGUUCAAUGUUAUUUCUUCUCUUCUAGUUCCUAAAAUAUAUUAACACCCACGUUACUGUACUGACCACAUUGUAGUAAUUGCAUGUUUAUACUUCUUUUUGUGAGUUUCUCAUAUCAUUUCUUACCAGAAUCUAACACACUGAUGAUCACACAGUAUACACUCAAUAAAUGUUUUUAAAUUGAUUAAUUUCUUCAAGAUACCAUAGCUUUUUUAUGAGAUAGCUUUAGGUAUCUAAAAGAUGAGUCACAGACAGAAAUAAAGGCCCUUUAUUAGGCCCCAAUAUAUCACAUAUAUUUCUACACUACUUUAGGGAGCUAUGCAUUUCCAGUCUUCAAUUUCUCUCUUUUAAUUUAAUAUUAUUGAGUGUAAAAAUGUUAAGAAAAUACAAAGCUUACUGCCUAGAAUAUUUUGGAAUCCAUUUAUAUUAGACUAUGUAACAUAUUCUAAAUGUUGUAAGAUUGACUAUAACAAUGCUAACUUAUUAUAUGUCAGAUAUCAUUCUAAGUGUUUCACAUGAAGUAAAUAAAGCAUUUAUUCCUCAC
Molecule: long non-coding RNA, 3754 nt
Filed under: Homo sapiens (human)
Lineage: Eukaryota; Metazoa; Chordata; Mammalia; Primates; Hominidae
Description: HSALNT0009684
Source: RNAcentral